UACGAAGGGAGCUAGCGUUGUUCGGAAUCACUGGGCGUAAAGCGCACGUAGGCGGAUUUGCCAGUCAGGGGUGAAAUCCCGGGGCUCAACCUCGGAACUGCCUUUGAUACAGCAAGUCUUGAGUUCGAGAGAGGUGGGUGGAAUUCCUAGUGUAGAGGUGAAAUUCGUAGAUAUUAGGAAGAACACCGGUGGCGAAGGCGGCCCACUGGCUCGACACUGACGCUGAGGAGCGAAAGCCAGGGGAGCAAACGGG
Molecule: ribosomal RNA, 253 nt
Filed under: uncultured bacterium
Lineage: Bacteria
Description: partial 16S ribosomal RNA
Rfam family: Bacterial small subunit ribosomal RNA
Source: RNAcentral